UAGCUAAUUAGCUCCAAAAACUC
This 23-nucleotide small nuclear RNA is filed under the name Arabidopsis thaliana (thale cress). RNAcentral's name for it is "snRNA_05118". Lineage: Eukaryota; Viridiplantae; Streptophyta; Magnoliopsida; Brassicales; Brassicaceae. The record is from RNAcentral.